CCCAGGCUCAGCAGUUGAGUGUGAGCAGCACCACUGUCUGGGCACUGAACCCACAGAGAGAGAUUCUCUGUAGAUAUGGCAUCAGCAAGCAAAACCCAGUGGGUGAUUACUGGAAAAAAAUACCCGGAAAUUACCAGAAUAUUUCAGCUUCUGCCAAUAACCAGUUGUGGGGUAUAACAAAAGAUGGUGGACUCUUUGAACAUAAAAGCAAGUAUCUGAAAAGGAGGGAAUUUGUUGAGGAAAGCCUUUCAAAAAUUGGUAGAAGCACUAGUGCUAACAGUGAUGGUGAUUGGGAACUAUUGUAAAACAAGGCAUUUUUCAUACCAUGCAUUUAUUUGUAAUGCCCAGUAGAUGUAGAUUAAAUACUGGGGUAUCUUGAUAAUGUUUGAUAUUGUUGCAUUGCAUUUUUGGCAUUGAUUUAUGGAAAUACACAAAUUUAAAGGAAAAUACUGAAAAUUCUGUGAGAAGAUUAACCAAAAAGAAAAUUAUGCAAAGGUAUUCUUUAGAACUUGGUGUACUCUUUGCUCUUUACAGUUAAAACAUUAUUAAGUAUAUGUUCUGACAUUCUUUAUUUUUUUCCAUUGACAAUUGUUCAGAAAAAAUUGGAAAAUGCUUCAUGAUAUUCACUUAUGGGUUCAGUUCAGCAAAAUGUGAUAAUUUGUCCCCUCGCCAUGAUCACUCUUGUAUGUACAUUUUUUUGCAAAGUUAUUGCUUUUUAUACUUUCCUUAUUUAUUUAUAUUUAUUUCUGCUGACUCAAUCAUUAAAUGAGUAAAAAAUCACUUGAAACAAAUUUCAUGGACUUAUGUUUUUUAAAUUCCUUAACUGAUGAAAUGCAUUUGAUUGCAUGGUGGGUAUUUUCAUCAGCAUUUAUCUCAAGUUUUUUCUACAUUAUUCUUGCAUGCUUUCCUUUUUGUGAAUUUUUUUUAGGACUGAGUUUUACACAUUGCAAAUUGAUAAAAAUUCAUUGUGUACAGCUGAACCAUUCUGCUGAGAGUUCAAAUAUAAGAUAUUAGGAAAGGUGCAUGCUAGUCAAAUCAGGUGAAGUUGAAAGUGAUUAGUUACCCAUUGAUAGGUACACUGGUGAAUUUAAGAUGGGUUUGUAAAUGAAGAUUACUUUGAUUAUGAUUAAUAAUUUAUUUCGUUUCAUAUACAAAUGUAUUUUUUUAAUUAGUAAGAAGGUGCAAUUUUUUCUUUUUUAAGUGCAAUGUAAGUAAAACAAGGGAAUGUUUUACAUUAAGAAUGUUCUUCCCACUUGAUUCAUUUUGUCAAAUUCAACAUUGAUUUGAGUGCUAUUUCUUGCUUGGCUUUUUUUCUAGUAGUACAUUGUACACAUUGCUGAGUGAACAGAAUUUUGUUUAAUCAAAUUUGUGAAUAUAUAAAUACACAUGUAUAUUCUUUUUUUUUUUUUUUUUUUUCGACACUGGUAUAUUAACAUAUUUGGGGGAUGUAGAGAAAUGUGUACUUGCUCAGUAUCAGAAAUGUGAUGUCAAAUUCAUUUGAAAGGGAGCUGAAAAUAAAGGUGAGGGCAUGCUGCCCCCCUUCUCUCACCCCUUGUUUCACCUUUGUAACAAUCUGUCUAAUGCACAAUUGUAUAAGGCCAGCUUAAAGCAAAAUACUGGUUAAUGAAAAGAAAUGCUUCGUUGAAUCGAAAUUCAUUGUGUAUUAAGUGUUGUAUGUAAUAGGAGGUAAAGGUUCCAUUGUAGGCAAUUUGUAGCUCAAAAUAAUGUUUUUAUGCACACAUAAGAAAUACAAUGGGUGUAUUAUUCAUUAAAGAUGCCAUAUUUGCUAAUUCUGUCAUAAUUGUCUUCCAUGUGCUGUUGCAAAGUUGUGGUAUGCUUGCUCAAAUAAGCAGUCAAUACUGUUACUUACAUGAUAUGUUUAAGGGCCUAUCGGCAGAACUUGUUAUUUAUUUUCUCUGUUGCUGUUGCUUUUGAAUUGCCAGAAGGUAAAUUUCAUUGCAAACUUACCAAGUUAGGCACAUUUUGUUGCAAGUUCUAUGUUGAAGGAGAACAUGGUAUUUUUAUGGACAGACAUUUUGUGUCUGGACAUACAUCCAUCACCUACCAGUCACCUACCAGUCACCACCUUCCACAUUGAAUUUCCUGGAAUUUUAACUUGAGAAAAUUAUAAAAGGCAAACCAUACUUUUUAUUAUUCUCAAAUUUAUAGGAAUGAUUCAUAGAACUUAAAUUAUACAUGAAGCAAGAUUUCCUGUAACACAUCUAAAUCACUAGUUUCUUAUGACUCAAAUAAAUGCCACAUGCCAAAUGAUAAAAAAAUAAAAAA
Molecule: long non-coding RNA, 2286 nt
Organism: Lingula anatina
Lineage: Eukaryota; Metazoa; Brachiopoda; Lingulata; Lingulida; Lingulidae
Source: RefSeq, a predicted model, not a curated record